GGAAUUACUGGGCGUAAAGCGCACGCAGACGGUUUGUUAAGUCAGAUGUGAAAUCCCCGCGCUUAACGUGGGAACUGCAUUUGAAACUGGCAAGCUAGAGUCUUGUAGAGGGGGGUAGAAUUCCAGGUGUAGCGGUGAAAUGCGUAGAGAUCUGGAGGAAUACCGGUGGCGAAGGCGGCCCCCUGGACAAAGACUGACGCUCAGGUGCGAAAGCGUGGGGAGCAAACAGGAUUAGAUACCCUGGUAGUCCACGCUGUAAACGAUGUCGACUUGGAGGUUGUGCCCUUGAGGCGUGGCUUCCGGAGCUAACGCGUUAAGUCGACCGCCUGGGGAGUACGGCCGCAAGGUUAAAACUCAAAUGAAUUGACGGGGGCCCGCACAAGCGGUGGAGCAUGUGGUUUAAUUCGAUGCAACGCGAAGAACCUUACCUACUCUUGACAUCCACGGAAUUCGCCAGAGAUGGCUUAGUGCCUUCGGGAACCGUGAGACAGGUGCUGCAUGGCUGUCGUCAGCUCGUGUUGUGAAAUGUUGGGUUAAGUCCCGCAACGAGCGCAACCCUUAUCCUUUGUUGCCAGCACGUAAUGGUGGGAACUCAAAGGAGACUGCCGGUGAUAAACCGGAGGAAGGUGGGGAUGACGUCAAGUCAUCAUGGCCCUUACGAGUAGGGCUACACACGUGCUACAACGGCAUAUACAAAGAGAAGCGAACUCGCGAGAGCAAGCGGACCUCAUAAAGUAUGUCGUAGCCCGGAUUGGAGUCUGCAACUCGACUCCAUGAAGUCGGAAUCGCUAGUAAUCGUAGAUCAGAAUGCUACGGUGAAUACGUUCCCGGGCCUUGUACACACCGCCCGUCACACCAUGGGAGUGGGUUGCAAAAGAAGUAGGUAGCUUAACCUUCGGGAGGGCGCUUACCACUUUGUGAUUCAUGACUGGGGUGAAGUCUAAC
This 945-nucleotide ribosomal RNA is filed under the name uncultured bacterium. RNAcentral's name for it is "bacterial SSU rRNA". It matches the Rfam family "Bacterial small subunit ribosomal RNA", at positions 547 to 1492 of the family's 1533-position model. The record is from RNAcentral.